Molecule: ribosomal RNA, 253 nt
Filed under: uncultured bacterium
Lineage: Bacteria
Description: partial 16S ribosomal RNA
Rfam family: Bacterial small subunit ribosomal RNA
Source: RNAcentral
UACGUAUGGUGCAAGCGUUAUCCGGAUUUACUGGGCGUAAAGGGAGCGCAGGCGGCGCGCCAAGUCUGAUGUGAAACCCCGGGGCUCAACCCCGGGCAUGCGUUGGAAACUGGCGGGCUGGAGUGCCGGAGAGGUAAGCGGAAUUCCUAGUGUAGCGGUGAAAUGCGUAGAUAUUGGGAGGAACACCAGUGGCGAAGGCGGCUUACUGGACGGCAACUGACGCUGAGGCUCGAAAGCGUGGGGAGCAAACAGG